Molecule: ribosomal RNA, 478 nt
Filed under: uncultured bacterium
Lineage: Bacteria
Description: partial 16S ribosomal RNA
Rfam family: Bacterial small subunit ribosomal RNA
Source: RNAcentral
GAUGAACGCUAGCGGGAGGCCUAACACAUGCAAGCCGAGCGGUAGAGUUUCUUCGGAAACUUGAGAGCGGCGCACGGGUGCGUAACACGUGUGCAACCUACCUUUAUCUGGGGGAUAGCCUUUCGAAAGGAAGAUUAAUACCCCAUAAUAUAAUGAUUGGCAUCAAUUAUUAUUGAAAACUCCGGUGGAUAGAGAUGGGCACGCGCAAGAUUAGAUAGUUGGUGAGGUAACGGCUCACCAAGUCAAUGAUCUUUAGGGGUCCUGAGAGGGAGAUCCCCCACACUGGUACUGAGAAACGGACCAGACUCCUACGGGAGGAAGCAGUGAGGAAUAUUGGACAAUGGGUGAGAGCCUGAUCCAGCCAUCCCGCGUGAAGGAUGACGGUCCUAUGGAUUGUAAACUUCUUUGUACAGGGAUAAACCUACCCUCGUGAGGGUAGCUGAAGGUACUGUACGAAUAAGCACCGGCUAACUCCGUG